CAGUAGCCGCGGUAAAACGGAGGGUGCAAGCGUUAAUCGGAAUUACUGGGCGUAAAGCGCACGCAGGCGGUCUGUCAAGUCAGAUGUGAAAUCCCCGGGCUUAACCUGGGAACUGCAUUUGAAACUGGCAGGCUAGAGUCUUGUAGAGGGGGGUAGAAUUCCAGGUGUAGCGGUGAAAUGCGUAGAGAUCGGGAGGAACAUCAGUGGCGAAGGCGGCCAUCUGGGACAACACUGACGCUGAGGCACGAAAGCGUGGGGAGCAAACAGGAUUAGAUACCCGUGUAGUCCCUGUCUCUUAUAU
This 301-nucleotide ribosomal RNA is filed under the name uncultured bacterium. RNAcentral's name for it is "partial 16S ribosomal RNA". It matches the Rfam family "Bacterial small subunit ribosomal RNA", at positions 509 to 809 of the family's 1533-position model. The record is from RNAcentral.